GGGGAAUAUUGGACAAUGGGCGCAAGCCUGAUCCAGCCAUGCCGCGGGGGUGAAGAAGGCCUUCGGGUUGUAAAGCCCUUUUGUUGGGAAAGAAAAGCAGCCGGCCAAUACCCGGUUGUUCUGACGGUACCGAAAGAAUAAGCACCGGCUAAGUUCGUGCCAGCAGCCGCGGUAAUACGAAGGGUGCAAGCGUUACUCGGAAUUAUUGGGCGUAAAGAGCUCGUAGGCGGUUAGUCGCGUCUGCUGUGAAAACUCGAGGCUCAACCUCGGGCUUGCAGUGGGUACGGGCUGACUAGAGUGCGGUAGGGGUGACUGGAAUUCCUGGUGUAGCGGUGGAAUGCGCAGAUAUCAGGAGGAACACCGAUGGCGAAGGCAGGUCACUGGGCCGCAACUGACGCUGAGGAGCGAAAGCAUGGGGAGCGAACA
RNAcentral lists this ribosomal RNA (426 nucleotides) under uncultured Actinomycetales bacterium. RNAcentral describes it as "bacterial SSU rRNA". It matches the Rfam family "Bacterial small subunit ribosomal RNA", at positions 356 to 774 of the family's 1533-position model. The record is from RNAcentral. Lineage: Bacteria; Bacillati; Actinomycetota; Actinomycetes; Actinomycetales.